RNAcentral lists this ribosomal RNA (514 nucleotides) under uncultured bacterium. Its description in RNAcentral is "partial 16S ribosomal RNA". It matches the Rfam family "Bacterial small subunit ribosomal RNA", at positions 28 to 523 of the family's 1533-position model. The record is from RNAcentral.
GAUGAACGCUGGCGGCGUGCCUAAUACAUGCAAGUCGAGCGAACUGAUUAGAAGCUUGCUUCUAUAACGUUAGCGGCGGACGGGUGAGUAACACGUGGGUAACCUGCCUGUAAGACUGGGAUAACUUCGGGAAACCGAAGCUAAUACCGGAUAGGAUCUUCUCCUUCAUGGGAGAUGAUUGAAAGAUGGUUUCGGCUAUCACUUACAGAUGGGCCCGCGGUGCAUUAGCUAGUUGGUGAGGUAACGGCUCACCAAGGCAACGAUGCAUAGCCGACCUGAGAGGGUGAUCGGCCACACUGGGACUGAGACACGGCCCAGACUCCUACGGGAGGCAGCAGUAGGGAAUCUUCCGCAAUGGACGAAAGUCUGACGGAGCAACGCCGCGUGAGUGAUGAAGGCUUUCGGGUCGUAAAACUCUGUUGUUAGGGAAGAACAAGGAUGAGAGUAACUGUUCAUCCCUUGACGGUAUCUAACCAGAAAGCCACGGCUAACUACGUGCCAGCCGCCGCCGUAA